AAACUCGUGGUAUUUUGAAUAUUAUGACUCAUUUAUAAUACUGUUCGAAACCAAAUGCGUUAAAACACUCAGUUUCAGAACCAUGAAAACAAUUACGAUCAUUUUCGUAAUAUAUUUAUUUGCAGAUAUCCAACAUGGUGAACUAAUACGAGAUUGUGCCACUUCCAAGUUCUGCGAGUCUCUAAAACCUACACCUGGAAUUGUAUUGUGUUUGCAAUGCAGCAAGAAGAGUUUAUGUAAUAACGAUACAAUACCUUACUAAAAAAUAUAUUUUGUUUCUAUUGGGUAAA
Leptinotarsa decemlineata (Colorado potato beetle) is the source of this 290-nucleotide long non-coding RNA. Lineage: Eukaryota; Metazoa; Arthropoda; Insecta; Coleoptera; Chrysomelidae. The record is from RefSeq and is a predicted model, not a curated record.